RNAcentral lists this ribosomal RNA (448 nucleotides) under uncultured bacterium. RNAcentral's name for it is "bacterial SSU rRNA". It matches the Rfam family "Bacterial small subunit ribosomal RNA", at positions 29 to 510 of the family's 1533-position model. The record is from RNAcentral.
AUUGAACGCUGGCGGCAUGGUUAAAGCAUGCAAGUCGAACGCGAACCACCUUCGGGUGGGGAAAGUGGCGAAAGGGCGAGGAAUACGAUUCGAAUGUGCCCCGAGGUGGGGGAUAGCGUCGAGAAAUCGGCGGUAAUACCCCAUGUGCUCUACGGAGGAAAGGUUUACCGCCUUGGGAGCAGCGAUCGUCCUAUCAGGUAGUUGGUGGGGUAAUGGCCUACCAAGCCGAAGACGGGUAGCGGGGUGUGAGAGCAUGACCCGCCGCAUCGGAACUGAGACACUGUCCGGACUCCUACGGGAGGCUGCAGCGACGAAUAUUCCGCAAUGGGCGAAAGCCUGACGGAGCAAUGCCGCGUGUGGGAUGAAGCGCCUUCGGCGUGUAAACCACUGUCAGGUCCUAGGAACACUGACCAGGACCGAGAGGAAGGGACCGGCUAACCUCGUGCCA